CCUACGGGUGGCAGCAGUGGGGAAUAUUGCGCAAUGGGCGAAAGCCUGACGCAGCGACGCCGCGUGAGGGAUGAAGGUCUUCGGAUCGUAAACCCCUGUUAGCAGGGAAGAACGGUCACUGUGCUAAUCAGCAGUGAAUUGACGGUACCUGCAAAGGAAGCACCGGCUAACUCCGUGCCAGCAGCCGAGGUAAUACGGAGGGUGCGAGCGUUAAUCGGAAUUACUGGGCGUAAAGCGCUCGUAGGCGGUAUGUCAAGUCAAGGGUGAAAUCCCCGCGCCGAACGUGGGAACUGCAUUUGAAACUGGACGACUGGAGUGUGUGAGAGGAUAGUGGAAUUCCAGGUGUAGGAGUGAAAUGCGUAGAUAUCUGGAGGAACAUCAGUGGCGAAGGCGACUAUCUGGCACAUAACUGACGCUGAGGAGCGAAGGCGUGGGUAGCAAACAGGAUUAGAUACCCCAGUAGUC
Molecule: ribosomal RNA, 465 nt
Filed under: uncultured bacterium
Lineage: Bacteria
Description: partial 16S ribosomal RNA
Rfam family: Bacterial small subunit ribosomal RNA
Source: RNAcentral